GGGAGGGGCUGUGAUUCAGUGGAAGAGCUUCUGCUUCGCAUGCAGAAGAUCCUGGUUCAAUCCCCCCCCCCCCA
This 74-nucleotide transfer RNA is filed under the name Sphaerodactylus townsendi. RNAcentral's name for it is "tRNA-Ala". The record is from RNAcentral. Lineage: Eukaryota; Metazoa; Chordata; Lepidosauria; Squamata; Sphaerodactylidae.